RNAcentral lists this microRNA precursor (202 nucleotides) under Oryza nivara. RNAcentral describes it as "MIR812 microRNA precursor family". It matches the Rfam family "MIR812 microRNA precursor family". The record is from Rfam by way of RNAcentral. Lineage: Eukaryota; Viridiplantae; Streptophyta; Magnoliopsida; Poales; Poaceae.
UAUAAGGGAUUUUGAGUUUUCGCUUAUAACGUUUGACCACUCGUCUUAUUCAAAAAAUUUUAAAAUUAUUAUUUAUUUUAUUUGUGACUUACUUUAUUAUCUACAGUACUUUAAGCACAACUUUUUGUUUUUUAUAUUUGCAAAAAAAAUUGAAUAAGACGAGUGGUCAAACGUUACAAGCAAAAACUCAAAAUCCCUUAUA